AUUGAACGAUGGCGGCAGGCCUAACACAUGCAAGUCGAGCGAGCGGCGGACGGGUGAGUAAUGUAUGGGAAACUGCCUGAUGGAGGGGGCUAACUACUGGAAACGGUAGCUAAUACCGCAUACCAUCAGAUGUGCCCCGAUGGGAUUAGCUAGGAGGUGGGGUAACGGCUCACCUAGGCGACGAUCCCUAGCUGGUCUGAGAGGAUGACCAGGCACACUGGAACUGAGACACGUUCCAGACUCCUACGGGAGGCAGCAGUGGGGAAUAUUGCACAAUGGGCGCAAGCCUGAUGCAGCCAUGCCGCGGGUGUGAAGAAGGCCUUAUGGUUGUAAAGAACUUUAAGCGAGGAGGCGUUACUCGCAGAAUAAGCACCGGCUAACUCUGUGCCAGCAGCCGCGGUAAUAC
Molecule: ribosomal RNA, 406 nt
Filed under: uncultured bacterium
Lineage: Bacteria
Description: partial 16S ribosomal RNA
Rfam family: Bacterial small subunit ribosomal RNA
Source: RNAcentral